CGCGUAGGCGGCUGCGCAAGUCGGUUGUGAAAUUCCGGGGCUCAACCCCGGAACUGCGUCCGAUACUGCGUGGCUAGAGGUAGGUAGGGGAGAUCGGAAUUCCUGGUGUAGCGGUGAAAUGCGCAGAUAUCAGGAGGAACACCGGUGGCGAAGGCGGAUCUCUGGGCCUUACCUGACGCUCAGGCGCGAAAAGUGGAGGGCGAC
Molecule: ribosomal RNA, 204 nt
Filed under: uncultured bacterium
Lineage: Bacteria
Description: partial 16S ribosomal RNA
Rfam family: Bacterial small subunit ribosomal RNA
Source: RNAcentral